AUGAGCUACUAUGUGUCAUGGAGAUGUUUAUUCCUGGUCCUCGGCAUACUGAACUCCAUGUUUCUGAGUUGUUCGGGCUGCUUCAUUGAGGAGAGAGCAGCCCUCAUGGAUAUUAGCUCUUGGUUCAUGAGCGUGCAGUACAUGGUUCCCACUUCUUGGGGAGGCGAUGAUGACUGCUGCUCGUGGGAAAGGGUCACAUGCAACAGUAGCACGCGACGAAUAUCGCAUCUUGACCUUUCCCAGGACUUGACCCCAUACUCGCCUAGUAUGGAAGACGAAAGCUCGAAUCUUAACUUGAAGAUUUUUUCUUCGUUUCGGGAGCUUCAGCUACUGGAUUUCUCUGGACAAGAAGCUAAUUUACAAAAUUUCGAGGGUCUCCAAGGAUUGAGUAAGCUCAAGUAUCUUGACCUCAGUGACAACCAAUUGUUCGGGGGUAUCCCAAGAUCCAUCGGCAGAUUGGUUUCUUUGGAAGCCAUAAAUCUCAAUCGAAACAACAUGGGUGGGGCUCUUCAGAAUAUAGGUUUCCAAAAUCUCCGGAACCUACGAGAAUUGCAUUUGAGAUCCAAUGGAUUGAGCGGUAGCCUCCCUGCAUCUUUAUUUGCGCUUCCAUUCCUUGAGCACUUGGAUCUUUCAGAAAACCUCUUUGAAGGACAUAUACCUAUAAACUCAUCUUGGAACCUGCGAGAACUUUAUUUGACAUCCAAUCAAUUGAGUGGUAGCAUCCCAGCAUCCCUAUUUGCACCCCUAUACCUUGAGUACUUGGAUCUUUCAGGAAACUUCUUGCAAGGACCUAUACCUAUAAACUCGUCUUGGAAAUGUUCCUCGUUGCUUAAAACUAUCAGGUUAUCUGAUAACAAGCUAAGCGGUCCAUUUGAUUUCUUCUGGAUAAGAAACUGCACGAAGCUCAAACAGAUAGAUCUGUCCAGGAAUACCGAUUUGGUUGUUCAAGUGAAAAUGCAUGGCUGGGUACCUAAAUUUAGAUUGAGAACACUAAAGCUCUCUUGGUGUAACCUUGACAAGAGCAUCAUUACAGAACCACAUUUCCUACGCACACAGCAUCGUCUGAAGUUUCUUGAUUUGUCCAACAAUAAUUUACCUGGAAGCAUGCCCAGUUGGCUGUUGACAAAUGAAGUGACACUAAUUUACCUGAAUCUUGCAAAUAACUUACUAGUUGGAUCAUUAGAUCUGAUAUGGCAACACCAAACCAAUCUCAAACUGGUGAACAUAUCUCUGAACCUAGUUGAAGGACAGCUGUCAGCCAACAUCAGUUUGAUGUUUCCUAAUCUGGUUGUUCUUGAUGUUUCCCACAAUAUUAUUUCUGGAACAAUACCACCAUCACUGUGCCACAUGAGCAACUUAUCAGUUAUGGACCUAUCAAAUAACAAAUUUACAGGAAAAGUGCCAUCUUGCUUGUUCACUGAUUGCCAUAGUCUGGAUAUAUUGAAGCUCUCAAACAAUACUCUCGGGGGCAAGAUAUUUGAUGGAGCUAGUAGCUUCUCUGCUGACCUGUGGGGAAUAUACCUAGACAACAACAAAUUUGAAGGGACUUUCCCUAGAAAUCUGUCUGGGGAUGUAGCCAUCAUGGAUUUACAUGGUAAUAAGAUGUCGGGAGAACUGGACACUUCAUUCUGGGAUCUUCCUGAACUGCGUGCUUUGAGCCUUGCUAGUAAUGGUUUAACUGGUGGCAUUCACCGAGGAAUUUGCAAAUUAACACUUCUUGAUAUGUUAGAUCUGUCAGACAACUACUUUACAGGGCGUAUGCCAAACUGCAGCACUUCAUUAUACCUCGAGUUUCUGAGUGUGUCUGGGAAUUCACUGUCAGGCUUGCCGGAUGUCUUUUUCAACAGCACCUACAUUACAGCUUUGGAUCUCAGCCAUAAUCAGUUCACAGGCAACCUUGACUGGAUGCUUUAUCUUACUCAAAUCAGUGUAAUUUUGUUAAGCAGAAAUAACUUUCAGGGGCAGAUCUCUUCAAAUCUGUGUAAUCUCCAACACUUGAGUAUAAUUGACAUUUCGAACAACAUACUUUCGGGUUCCAUACCACCAUGUAUUGGUGGCAUUCCAUUUGGACUCCUUGAUGAUGCUUAUGAAUACGAUGGUUGGCCCUCAGGUGGUAGUAGUACUUAUGAAUUGGGGGAUUAUGGUGUGGACUCACUGUAUAGCAGUGAGUAUGACCUCUCAGGCUUCACCUUCACAACUAAAGGGAACCCCUAUACAUACGGACGGAACUUCUUCAUGUCGAUGUCUGGCAUUGACUUUUCUGCAAACAUGCUGUCAGGUGAGAUUCCGAAGGAGAUAGGGAAUCUGAGCCACAUCAAGUCACUCAAUUUGUCGAACAAUUUAUUUACUGGACCAAUUCCUGCAACCUUCGCAAACAUGAGUGAGAUCGAAAGCUUAGACCUAUCAAAAAACAUGCUGAAUGGAUCGAUACCAUGGCAGAUAACUCGGCUAUCAUCGCUAGAGGUGUUCUCUGUGGCAGACAAUAACUUAUCGGGAUGUCUACCAGCCACUGGUCAGUUCAGCACAUUCGAUAUGAACAGUUACAAAGGGAACAACAACCUUAGAUCAUGCACUUCAAGUUCAGGUCCCAUGGCACCAAAUGGUGUUGCAGGAAGUGUGGCUGAUGAUUCUGACCCGAUCCUUUACGUGGUCGGUGCCAUUUCAUUCGUCUUGGCAUUUUGGGCCACUAUCACAUUCGUAUUCUGCCAUCCAUUUGGGCAGCGUCUUAUUCUCAAACUGUAA
RNAcentral lists this ribosomal RNA (2742 nucleotides) under Triticum aestivum (bread wheat). RNAcentral's name for it is "partial small subunit ribosomal RNA". Lineage: Eukaryota; Viridiplantae; Streptophyta; Magnoliopsida; Poales; Poaceae. The record is from RNAcentral.